GAUGAACGCUGGCGGCGUGCCUAAUACAUGCAAGUCGAGCGAACGGACGAGAAGCUUGCUUCUCUGAUGUUAGCGGCGGACGGGUGAGUAACACGUGGAUAACCUACCUAUAAGGCUGGGAUAACUUCGGGAAACCGGAGCUAAUACCGGAUAAUAUUUUGAACCUCAUGGUUCAAAAGUGAAAGACGGUCUUGCUGUCACUUAUAGCUGGAUCCGCGCUGCAUUAGCUAGUUGGUAAGGUAACGGCUUACCAAGGCAACGAUGCAUAGCCGACCUGAGAGGGUGGUCGGCGACACUGGAGCUGAGACACGGUCCAGACUCCUGCGAGAGGCAGCAGUAGGGAAUCUUCCGCAACGGUCGAAAGCCUGACGGAGCAACGGCGCGUGAGUGAUGAAGGUCUUCGGAUCGUGAAACCCUGUUAUUAGGGGAGAACCUAUGUGUAAGUAACUGUGCACAUCGUGACGGUACCUAAACAGAAAGCCACGGCUAACUACGUG
This 497-nucleotide ribosomal RNA is filed under the name uncultured bacterium. Its description in RNAcentral is "partial 16S ribosomal RNA". It matches the Rfam family "Bacterial small subunit ribosomal RNA", at positions 28 to 507 of the family's 1533-position model. The record is from RNAcentral.